CCUACGGGAGGCAGCAGUAAGGAAUAUUGGACAAUGCUCGCAAGAGUGAUCCAGCCAUGCCGCGUGCAGGAAGAAUGCCCUAUGGGUAGUAAACUGCUUUUGAACUAGAGAAAACCCCAGUACGUGUACCGGGCUGAUAGUAUAGUUAGAAUAAGCAUCGGCUAACUUCGUGCCAGCAGCCGCGGUAAGACGAAGGAUGCAAGCGUUAUCCGGAUUCAUUGGGUUUAAAGGGAGCGUAGGUGGACUGAUAAGUCAGUGGUGAAAUCUCCGAGCUUAACUCGGAAAUUGCCAUUGAUACUGUUGGUCUUGAGUACAGUUGCUGUGGGCGGAAUAUGACAUGUAGUGGUGAAAUACAUAGAGAUGUCAUAGAACACCGAUUGCGAAGGCAGCUCACAAAGCUGUAACUGACACUGAGGCUCGAAAGUGCGGGGAUCAAACAGGAUUAGAUACCCUGGUAGUCCGCACCGUAAACGAUGAUUACUCGCUGCUAGGGGGCACCUUUAGUGGCUUAGCGAAAGCGAUAAGUAAUCACCUUGGGGUAGUUAGCGCGACGAGAGACGAGAGAGAGAGNGNGAGAGNGCGACGACGACGACGGAGGAGGAG
Molecule: ribosomal RNA, 603 nt
Filed under: uncultured bacterium
Lineage: Bacteria
Description: bacterial SSU rRNA
Rfam family: Bacterial small subunit ribosomal RNA (bases 1-533)
Source: RNAcentral